This 257-nucleotide unclassified non-coding RNA is filed under the name Umbelopsis sp. RNAcentral describes it as "partial contains small subunit ribosomal RNA, internal transcribed spacer 1, and 5.8S ribosomal RNA". The stretch from base 1 to 46 matches the Rfam family "Eukaryotic small subunit ribosomal RNA", at positions 1786 to 1831 of the family's 1831-position model. Lineage: Eukaryota; Fungi; Mucoromycota; Umbelopsidomycetes; Umbelopsidales; Umbelopsidaceae. The record is from RNAcentral.
AAGUCGUAACAAGGUUUCCGUAGGUGAACCUGCGGAAGGAUCAUUAUCAAGAGAAAUCUUUCCCAACCGAAAGAUCUUUUCCUUUGUGCUGGCUUUGACUGUAUGUAAUUUUGGGACUUCAAAAUGGUUUCGUCGUAAAACAACGAGCCGGUCCCAAAAAACAAUAUAUCAUCCUUAUGAAAUUUUUCUGAACUUAUAAACAAGUGAUUUUAAUAAUCUGUUUAAAACAACUUUCAACAACGGAUCUCUUGGUUCUC